CGAGGGAUCCAAGCGUUAUCCGGAUUUAUUGGGUUUAAAGGGUGCGUAGGCGGGCUAUUAAGUCAGUGGUGAAAGCCCCAAGCUUAACUUGGGAAUUGCCAUUGAUACUGAUGGUCUUGAGUACACUUGAGGUAGGCGGAAUGUGUCAUGUAGCGGUGAAAUGCUUAGAUACGACACAGAACACCGAUUGCGAAGGCAGCUUACUAAAUUGUAACUGACGCUGAGGCACGAAAGCGUGGGGAUCAAACAGGAUUAGAUACCCUGGUAGUCCACGCCCUAAACGAUGAUUACUCGAUGUGUGCAAUACACCGUACGCGUACUGAGCGAAAGCAUUAAGUAAUCCACCUGGGAGUACGACCGCAAGGUUG
RNAcentral lists this ribosomal RNA (368 nucleotides) under uncultured organism. RNAcentral's name for it is "bacterial SSU rRNA". It matches the Rfam family "Bacterial small subunit ribosomal RNA", at positions 526 to 896 of the family's 1533-position model. The record is from RNAcentral.